CAUGUGACCGCAGGUUCGUAGCGCCAACAAUGCUGUCUAGUAGGAUUAGGUGCAGCCGGAGCUGAUUUGAUAUUUGUAGCAGAUAGUGCUUGGGCUGUCACUACUCAGUUGUGAUGGGCUACCGAAUUGCAAUGGAUUGCUACUGCGCAUCCAUGAACCGACGCCAUUUUCUCCCGAGCAAUGACGGCAGUUAUAGAUAUACUUCAAACAACUUUCAGGAGCAUACCGCCAUGUAGUGUACAAGAAUAUACAGCGCCCAUGCCUUCACCCUUACGAGAGAAUGGUCCAGCUUCGGCCCGCAGUACAAGACAACUGCACCCCCUCCUUUCAACGAUCAAUCAGAUCAAACCUUCGUCAUCGGCCAACCGUGCCCAUUGCUGUCAACGACCAAUCAGAUCAAAUGUUCGUCAUCCACCAACUGCGGCCCCUGCUUUCAACGAUCCUAACCUUUAUAUAAAGAAAAUAAA
Molecule: long non-coding RNA, 467 nt
Organism: Corythoichthys intestinalis (scribbled pipefish)
Lineage: Eukaryota; Metazoa; Chordata; Actinopteri; Syngnathiformes; Syngnathidae
Exons: 3
Source: RefSeq, a predicted model, not a curated record